CCUACGGGUGGCAGCAGUGAGGAAUAUUGGUCAAUGGACGAGAGUCUGAACCAGCCAAGUAGCGUGAAGGAUGACUGCCCUAUGGGUUGUAAACUUCUUUUAUAAAGGAAUAAAACGAGGCACGUGUGCCUUUUUGCAUGUACUUUAUGAAUAAGGAUCGGCUAACUCCGUGCCAGCAGCCGCGGUAAUACGGAGGAUCCGAGCGUUAUCCGGAUUUAUUGGGUUUAAAGGGAGCGUAGAUGGGUUGUUAAGUCAGUUGUGAAAGUUUGCGGCUCAACCGUAAAAUUGCAAUUGAUACUGGCAGUCUUGAGUACAGGUGAGGUAGGCGGAAUUCGUGGUGUAGCGGUGAAAUGCUUAGAUAUCACGAAGAACCCCGAUUGCGAAGGCAGCUUACUAAACUGUGACUGACGCUCAGGCACGAAAGCGUGGGUAUCGAACAGGAUUAGAUACCCGAGUAGUC
Molecule: ribosomal RNA, 460 nt
Filed under: uncultured bacterium
Lineage: Bacteria
Description: partial 16S ribosomal RNA
Rfam family: Bacterial small subunit ribosomal RNA
Source: RNAcentral